This 222-nucleotide ribosomal RNA is filed under the name uncultured bacterium. RNAcentral describes it as "partial 16S ribosomal RNA". It matches the Rfam family "Bacterial small subunit ribosomal RNA", at positions 553 to 774 of the family's 1533-position model. The record is from RNAcentral.
ACUGGGCGUAAAGCGCGCGUAGGCGGAUUGGAAAGUUGGGGGUGAAAUCCCGGGGCUCAACCCCGGAACUGCCUUCAAAACUCCCAGUCUAGAGUUCGAGAGAGGUGAGUGGAAUUCCGAGUGUAGAGGUGAAAUUCGUAGAUAUUCGGAAGAACACCAGUGGCGAAGGCGGCUCACUGGCUCGAUACUGACGCUGAGGUGCGAAAGUGUGGGGAGCAAACA